UUAUGUCGGUAACAAUUUAAAAAACUAUUAAGACACCAAAUCCGUUAAGUCUUUAAGAAUUUAAUAAAUUACCAAACUACCAUAAAUUACUAUAAAUGCAUCAUGCUCUUAACAAUAUAGCAAAUCUACCAAAUUCUUUAAGAAUUUAACAAGUAAUUGUGUUGCUUGCGGUGCUUGUGACUGUGACUGCCAUUGGGAUGAAGCACGUGUACCCGUUGCUGAAGAAGGUUUAGGCUCAAUGUCUCUCACAUGCCCCCUACGAGUACCCAACACCUUCUUAAAUAUUGCGAUCCAAUAAAUGGUGUCUGGAUCACCACCGGAGUCGGCUAUGUGAUGAGUUUGUAGAGCAACCUCAGCAACUAAGGCAUUCUAUAUUUCACAAGGCCUUGGCAUUGUUGUUUGUACUAAACACAAGAAACAGCCUUCCAAUAAAUGAAACUUAUUCCAAAUUCUAUUAUGCAUUUUCAAUUUUUUAUUAUAAAUGUGAGGGGUAAUUUAACUAUGUGUCUCAAGAUGUGUGUUGUGUAAUAGAAAGACAUAGUUGUUGCAUAACAAAAAACGUAACCUUUAGCGACGACAAAAAGCAUCGCAAUUGAUGCCCCUGGACGUCGCUAAUACCUUUAGCGACGACAUGUUGUCGCUAUUACCUCGUAGCUAAUACUCUUUUUUCGUCGCAAAUAGUGUCGCCUCUGAUAUACGUUGUUGCUAAAUGGUUAAUCUCGUUGUUGUUGGUGUCGUCUCUAUUGGUAUUCCGGCCACCGGUCAGAGUUUCUCCGGCUACACUUCCCGGAACCGGUUGUCAUCACAAUUGAAUCAUUGUCGUCCCUAAAUAUGUGGCUGCUAAUGGUUUUUUUUUUUUUUUAAAAAAAUAAUUUAUUUAUGAUAUUGGUUUUUAUAUAUUAUAAAAUGCAUCUUUAAUAAAAAUACAUACCACAUUACAUAAAACAUCAAAUAUAUCAUAUUACAUAAACUAUCUAAUAUAUCCCAAAUACACAUCUAAUAUAUCAUCCAUAAACUAUCUAAUAAAUCCAAAAUAACACCAUCCACAAAGAGUCAAAACAAGAAAUACUAUGUGUAUGCGUCUUCGUCAUCGUUCUUUUCUUCAUUAUUGACGUGGCUUUUAAACAAGCAGAUAAUGUCUCCAAUGGUUGUCACAAACGCCGAGUUUUGAAGAAAAGCGUUCACAUCAACAUCCUACAAUUAAUUCACAAGCACAUUAAGUCAUUAACUAUUAAUUAUUUAACAAACGAUCAAACCAUCAAACCACCAAAUGAAUUAUGUCGGAAACAAUUUAAAAAACUACUAAGCCACCAAAUUAGUUAAGUCUUUAAGAAUUUAACAAACUACCAAACUACCAAAAAUUAUUAUAAAUGCAUAAUGCUCUUAACAAUAUAGCAAAGCUACCAAAUUCUUUAAGAAUUUAACAAGUAGUUGUGGUUCCUGCGGUGCUUGUGACUGUGACCGCCAUUAGUAUGAAGUACGUGUACCCGUUGCUGAAGAAGUUUUAGGCUCAAAGCCUCUCACAUGCCCCCUACGAGCACCCAACACCUUCUUAAAUAUUGCGAUCCAAUAAAUGGUGUCUGGAUCACCAC
This 1592-nucleotide long non-coding RNA is filed under the name Lactuca sativa (garden lettuce). Its description in RNAcentral is "long non-coding RNA (LSAT_LNC010064)". The record is from RNAcentral. Lineage: Eukaryota; Viridiplantae; Streptophyta; Magnoliopsida; Asterales; Asteraceae.